This 299-nucleotide unclassified non-coding RNA is filed under the name Hevea brasiliensis (rubber tree). The record is from RNAcentral. Lineage: Eukaryota; Viridiplantae; Streptophyta; Magnoliopsida; Malpighiales; Euphorbiaceae.
AUUUCAGCAUGGAUAAAAAAUCCAGCCAUUUUUACAAUGGAGACAGUACAAUCUGAGUUCCAAGCAAAAGCUAAACCUCCUGCUAAGCCUUGAGGAUUAACCACAACCAUAUCCGAAAACCCACAUCUAUUGAGAAUUUUUUUGACUAAUUGGCUCUUAUUUUUUGUCUCCAUAAGAAAAAUAAAAUAUGGAGAAUGAGCAGCAUUAAGCCCUUUAAGGUUAUGGACUGUCAGGGGGUUUCCCACACCCUGACAGUUCCAUGAUAAAAGAUUUGUUGAUUUAAAUAGGGCCACUUUUGG